CUUAUAUUGCAGAACAGUAUCUUACAACUUACUCUUUAGUAGUAUGUAGUACUAAGUUAGUAGUCAUUUUUACAAGACAUGAAGAUAAACAUGUGGCUUUGUUCAUGUGACGUGCUAUAUGUGUUCAUGAGAAACGUUUCUGACACUACAAUGAAGUUAUUUUUCCAAUUCAUUUGCAGGGAAUCCCUGGCCCCACUGGGAAAAAUGGCCGAAAAGGAAGACAGGGUAUUGUCGGAGAUGCUGGUGAGAGAGGACCUCCUGGCCCAGAUGGAAAUGAAGGUCCUGUUGGCAGCACCGGAAUUGGAGGCUUUCCUGGACUGCGGGGUGAUGCAGGGCCCGAAGGAUCCCGUGGCCUAACAGGCAUAGUGGGACCUCAGGUAUGGUCAAGUUUACAUUCAGACUACAGGAUAACCAUUAACCCUUUAACCAUUAACCAGCAAUUAAACUUUGAACCUAAUGACACCCUAAUUUGUCUUCGGCAGGGCCUUACCGGAAGAGCUGGGCCACCAGGAUUGAAAGGUGAUAAGGGUGAUCCUGGAUUAAUGGGUGAGCCAGGAGAAUAUGGUUACCCAGGUGACAAGGUAGGAAAGAUAAUUUUAUUUCUUAUAAUAUAGAAAUUACAAGCAAUUGUAUAUACCCAGCUAUUAUUAUUACAUCUGUAAUAUAUUUACCCCAUUCCAGGCUGACAUCUCAAUGUAGAUAUGAGCAGAAAACAGACAUGUCUGUCCCAGUCACAAUAAAAUUGUUCAGUAAGUUUAAGUGGUAGUUUUA
Molecule: long non-coding RNA, 771 nt
Filed under: Scleropages formosus (Asian bonytongue)
Lineage: Eukaryota; Metazoa; Chordata; Actinopteri; Osteoglossiformes; Osteoglossidae
Description: lncRNA (ENSSFOG00015027091.1)
Source: RNAcentral